CCCCCCGGACCAGCAGCGCCUGAUCUUUGCCGGUAAGCAGCUUGAGGAUGGUCGCACACUGGCAGAUUACAACAUUCAGAAGGAGUCUACUCUCCACCUGGUGCUUCGCCUUCGUGGUGGCCAGUGAGUUCUUCGCAUUCCUGGAAGUUUGACCCGGACCAGCAGCGCCUGAUCUUUGCCGGUAAGCAGCUUUAGGAUGGUCGCAUACUGUUGGACUCCACCUGGUGCUUUGCCUUCGUGGUGUCACUGAGUUCUUCGCACUCCUGGAAGUUUGAUUUGACUACGCCUGUUGCUGGUAUCCGAGUCAUUAUUUGUGCUUUUACUUAAAAUUUGUAGUCCCGUGCCAUUCGUGAGAACACCUGGUGCUGCCUUUAAGCAGCUUAUAUUAGUACUAUCCGUUAUGAAAUAUAAGUGAUCCUGAAUCUUCUUAUUCCUUGAUAAGCCGAAUCUCCGUAUCCUGUAAAUUACAGUUGCUUUGUGCUGGUCCUGUGAUUCAUAGAUGUUCAGACUGUAACAUCGAGGGGGAUGAGAAAUUUUGAUGGAGGUACUUUAUAAAAGUAUUAGUUUUACCCCCUCCGUAUCAAAAUAUUUUGAGUAAUAAUUAUCUAAUUCGAGGGUUGCUGGUCUGAAUCAACAGUGUAGGCAUGUUCAGAAUGCAGAUAACUUCAUGCAGUACAGUGAAAGAAACAUGGGUGUUAUGUCCAGA
This 706-nucleotide long non-coding RNA is filed under the name Triticum aestivum (bread wheat). RNAcentral's name for it is "long non-coding RNA (TAES_LNC016826)". The record is from RNAcentral. Lineage: Eukaryota; Viridiplantae; Streptophyta; Magnoliopsida; Poales; Poaceae.